This 1002-nucleotide long non-coding RNA is filed under the name Homo sapiens (human). RNAcentral describes it as "HSALNT0252943". Lineage: Eukaryota; Metazoa; Chordata; Mammalia; Primates; Hominidae. The record is from RNAcentral.
GUGAUGUAUCAUCUCCAAGCAGGGCAGGAGCAGGAGCUCAUAUGAUUCCAGCUGUCUUUCGUCAAGUAAUCUCUGUACACAUCAGCUUCCCUUCGCCCUCCACCAUCAGUGGAAGCAGCCUGAAGCCCUCAGCAGAAGCAAGUGCUGAUGCCAUGCUACCUGUGCAGCCUGUAGAACUGUGACCCAAGUAAUAAACGUUUUCUUUCUUUCUUUCUUUCUUUUUUUUUUUUUUUUUUUUUUUUUUUGAGACAGGGUCUCUCUCUGUUGUCCAGACUGGAGUGUAUCCGUUUUCUUUCUAAAUUGCCCAACCUCAGGUAUUCCUUCAUAGGAACAUGAACAUAUUAAGGCCGCCAAAUACUAACCAUUUAGACUUUACAAUUAGUAUUGCCAAAUACUAACCAUUUAAAUUUUACAAUUAGUAUUUAUUUACAAUUGUAGCCACCUAUCUGUCCCGCUAUUCAUGUAUUAACCAAUUUUACUUUCUGAUGUUUUAACAGUAAGUUGCUGACAUCAGUACACCCCUAAAUGCUUCGGCAAGCACGUAAUUUUGAGUAUAAUAUGUUAUAUUUUUUCCCUUUAAAGGUAAAAUUCACAUACAAUAAGAUGCACAAGAUGUAAGUUUAUCUUUUGAUAAGUUUUGACCAUGUACAUACCUGUGUAAUCCAAGCCUCUAAAAAGAUAGAGAAUAUUUUUAUCACUCCGGAAAACUCCUGAUGCUGCUUUCUAGUCAAUCCCCACCUGACCCGCCCUAAUGCAAUUACUACUCUGAUCUUUUUCUGCCAUAAGUUAUACUUGCUCUAGAACUUUAUAGAAACAAAAGCAUUUGGCAUACAUACCAUACUUUUUUAAAAUAAAGCUUCUAUUACCAAAAUAUUUUGAGAUUCAUUCAUGUUGUAGUUCAUUUUCUUCUUUUUCUUUCUUUCUUUCUUUCUUUCUUUUUUCUUUCUUUCUUUCUUUCUUCUUUCAUUUAUUUUUAUUUAUUUAUUAAGAGACAGAGUUUUC